This 386-nucleotide ribosomal RNA is filed under the name uncultured bacterium. Its description in RNAcentral is "bacterial SSU rRNA". It matches the Rfam family "Bacterial small subunit ribosomal RNA", at positions 30 to 419 of the family's 1533-position model. The record is from RNAcentral.
AUUGAACGCUGGCGGAAUGCUUUACACAUGCAAGUCGAACGGCAGCACGGGGCAACCUGGUGGCGAGUGGCGAACGGGUGAGUAAUACAUCGGAACGUGCCCAAUCGUGGGGAUAACGUAGCGAAAGUUACGCUAAUACCGCAUACGAUCUACGGAUGAAAGCGGGGGAUCGCAAGACCUCGCGCGAAUGGAGCGGCCGAUGUCAGAUUAGGUAGUUGGUGGGGUAAAGGCUCACCAAGCCAACGAUCUGUAGCUGGUCUGAGAGGACGACCAGCCACACUGGAACUGAGACACGGUCCAGACUCCUACGGGAGGCAGCAGUGGGGAAUUUUGGACAAUGGGCGCAAGCCUGAUCCAGCCAUUCCGCGUGCAGGAUGAAGGCCUUC